This 493-nucleotide ribosomal RNA is filed under the name uncultured bacterium. RNAcentral describes it as "partial 16S ribosomal RNA". It matches the Rfam family "Bacterial small subunit ribosomal RNA", at positions 30 to 523 of the family's 1533-position model. The record is from RNAcentral.
AUUGAACGCUGGCGGCAUGCCUUACACAUGCAAGUCGAACGGUAACAGGUUAAGCUGACGAGUGGCGAACGGGUGAGUAAUAUAUCGGAACGUGCCCAGUCGUGGGGGAUAACGUAGCGAAAGCUACGCUAAUACCGCAUACGAUCUACGGAUGAAAGCGGGGGAUCGCAAGACCUCGCGCGAUUGGAGCGGCCGAUAUCAGAUUAGGUUGUUGGUGAGGUAAAGGCUCACCAAGCCUGCGACCUGUAGCUGGUCUGAGAGGACGACCAGCCACACUGGAACUGAGACACGGUCCAGACUCCUACGGGAGGCAGCAGUGGGGAAUUUUGGACAAUGGACGCAAGUCUGAUCCAGCACUGCCGCGUGCAGGACGAAGGCCUUCGGGUUGUAAACUGCUUUUGUACGGAACGAAACGGCGAGUUCUAAUACAGUUUGCUAAUGACGGUACCGUAAGAAUAAGCACCGGCUAACUACGUGCCAGCCGCCGCAGUAA